This 3538-nucleotide long non-coding RNA is filed under the name Fukomys damarensis (Damara mole-rat). Its description in RNAcentral is "lncRNA (ENSFDAG00000031206.1)". The record is from RNAcentral. Lineage: Eukaryota; Metazoa; Chordata; Mammalia; Rodentia; Bathyergidae.
CCUGUGACCUGUGGAGGGGUCGCCCCGAUCUCGUGGCCUGCUUGUCCGCGGGGUCCCCCUCCCCGGAGAGAAAGGACGGCCACAGGCUUUUUAGGAAAAGGCGCAGCUGCGCAUUUCCGCGUUGGGCUUUCCAGCAGCGUCACCGGGGAUUCAGAAACAAAAAGCAAACAAACAAACAAAAAAAACCCACGAGUUUCCCGACGCCGACCUGUGGAGGGGUCGCCCCGAUCUCGUGGCCUGCUUGUCCGCGGGGUCCCCCUCCCCGGAGAGAAAGGACGGCCACAGGCUUUUUAGGAAAAGGCGCAGCUGCGCAUUUCCGCGUUGGGCUUUCCAGCAGCGUCACCGGGGAUUCAGAAACAAAAAGCAAACAAACAAACAAAAAAAACCCACGAGUUUCCCGACGCCGCUGGGCUUCUGGGGCGCAGGCAUGAGAUUUUCGCGGAAUCUAGGCUCAUCCGGGGACGCCAGGGGACCUCCCGGCGGCUUGGGGUGGGUGGGCAGCUCAGCGCCCAGGCUUUCACGGUUCCCGGUGCCGGCUGGGUGCUGGUGAGACGGGCGGGGACCGUGGCAGAAGCUGGCAUCCUCUGCCCGCCAAGCCGAGCAAGUGCCCCUCCUCUCUGGCUUCAGGACAGUAAGGAUCCGGGCCUGGCGGUGGUCGGCGGCCAGUGGGUGUUGUGCCCGCAGCUCCGGGCAAGGGAAAGGAGGUUGAUGGGAACUUGGGUGUGUUCGGGAAGGGCCCCGCUUCGGAGAUCAAGCCAGCUGGACCUUCCCCGUUUCCUGAUUGGCGUUGUUACUGCCCGUGAGUGGGACUGGUGUCUCUGGAGGAAGGAUCUCACUCAGCAGAACUGCAGAGGGGAAAUACCCAGGGCCAAGGCCAAGGAGAAUAAAAGGGGACCUAUGAGAAGAAAGAGCCAGAAGCCAUCUCCAGCCUAAGCUGAUUGUCAAGAUGAUAAAUUGUGUGCUUUGCUGCCCUUAAUUUGAUCAUCGCUGCCGAGCAGAGAUGAGAAGGGCCAUAGCCCCACAGGGACAUAAAAUUAUCUGGAAGAUGAAUCUCUCAUAGCUACGGAGAGUGAAAAAAUGGGAAUCCAUAAGAGGAAGUCUUAGAGUCCUAUCACUGUGGCUUGUCCUCUCUCUCUCUCUUUUUUUUUUUUUUUUGUUUGUUUUUACUACCACGAAAAUGGCCCAGGAAGCCAGGUGGCCUACUUGCUAGGUAAAUAGACUUCCUUAAUUCUUUAUUUCUUUUUAUCCCACACAUAUUUUUGAUCUCUCUGGAUGCAUGACAUGAUCUGGGCUUGAUUGGUGUUAACCUGCCUUGGAAUUGUUACUUGGGAGCCAGGCAUGGUGGUGGGGCACGCCUGUAAACCCAGCACUCAGGAGGCUGAGGUAGGAGGGUCGUCAUGAGUUCAAGGCCAGCCUAAAUUACAUAGAAAGAUCUUGUUUCCAAAAACCAGAAAUCCACCCCUGCAAAACAAAAGAAUUGUAGCCUGGGCGUGGUGGCACAUGCCUGUAAUCCCAGCACUCUGGAGGCUGAGGCAAGAGGAUUGCUCUAAGUUUGAGACCAGCCUGCACUGCAUAGUGAGUUCCAGGUCAGUCUCAACUACACAGUGAGACCCUGUCUCAAAAAACCAAAAACAAACAAAAGAAUUGUUAUUUGGGGUCAAGUUGAUACUUUCCGGGGUCCUCACCAUUUCAUUGUUUAAGUCUGUUUUGACCUCUAGACAGAGGCCAUAACACCUUUGCAUCUAAUGGAAUUUGUCCCCGGACCAGGAUUGAGUAGAAGAAUUGUGUCUGAUUUUAUUGGGCUUGUUAGGAGCAGAAAACUGUGACUUUUUCCAUGCUGCCAAGAGGCUCCUGUAACAAAGACAAAUCAACUAUGGAAAAGCCUAACAGGUUGAGUUAAACAAAAUUUUAUAGGACAUAGGAGUCUUCUGAAAUGUAGACCCAAACUUGAGGAAAAACUGUUCAUUUUUAUGCUCAUAUCCAGUGAGGCGUGGACAGCCAUGCAGAAAUGUGACUGGACCCAGGGUGUGAGCUGUGUGCUCGGUUCCUCCUGGGCCUCUGGGUCAGGCUCCUUCCUUCUUCCUAGUGUGGACGGGGCCUUUGGGUCAGGGUCUUAGGUUCCACUCUCAGACAAGGUGGGUGAAGAAUUCGCACGGAGGCGGGAAGGCUGGAGUGACAGCUGCGGGUUCUGUGUUCUGCCCCAGGGAAGAGGAAUCCUGGUUUCUCUGGCUGCCUUAGGGGAGAAAAGGAAGCAGGAGGUCAGAGAGGCUGCGCUGCUGCCCCUCCUGUGUUCCCUGGUUCAGAGUCCACGCGUGCCAUGUGCUACUCUUUAGGGUAGGUCUUCUGUGCCCUAACAGGUUUAAGGCAUCUCAGAAACAAACAAAAAAUUACAGAGGGAGCGUGGGUGGUAGCAAUCUUUCGCUUAUCUCUCCCUUGUAGGGAGUUAAUUCACCAGGAUGGAAAGCCCAAGGCUUCAGAGAAAGUAAUGAUGGAGGAUGUCAGCUAUUCAGCUAUGGAGCCUUAGAACUGGCAGUGUUCCUGGGUAAAUUUAAGGGCUCAGUGUUGACUCGCCUUAAUCUUGGAUCCUGUGAGGUUAUUCCUAGACCAUGUACUGAUAUCUUAAACAUUUAAAAAUAGCAUUAUUUCAGAAAGUAUGGAAGACAAAGAGGAAAAUCAGGCAUAAUUUAAUCACAGAAACACAAGCUUUCCUUAUUGGGUGGCUUCUGUCUUUUCUCACUGCCUGUUUUCUUUGUAAUUGAAAUCAGAGUACAUACAGUUUGGUAUCCUGACACAGGCUUAUUAAUGAUCUCUGUGGUUUCAUCAAAAGCCAUCAUUCAUGUACAAAACGGGGAUGUGGUUUCACCAGGAAUCCAGCGGGAAAUGGCCCUCUCUGAUUGUAGGGAGCGACUCAUUUCUCCCUGGAUGGAAGCAUUUUCCACUCCAUUCCUCCAAUCAGUGUAAUUUGUAGUUCCGCCGUAUUGAACCUGGCUUUGGGCUGGUGGUAACUUUAUCUUCAACUUGUGGAGCAAGUGGCCCUGUGGAAACACUGAAUUCAGAAGAUGUAAUUUGAAAACAUUUCUCUGAAAUACUUCACCAAGCUUCUGUGUUUUUUCCAGGUAUACUAAAUUUGAGUGUGUUUGGGGUCAGAGUGACUUCGCUUGGCGUGCACUUUCUCUCUUCCUCGUGCAAAGAGGACUGGAGGUUCCAGUUUCCCCUUUUGUCUAAAUCCUUCCCCUUUACCAUUUAGGGUUUAAGAAGCACCAUUCAUUCUCCUUGGACAUUUUCUCCAGUCGUAGGCAGGGUCCGUUCCAUUGUGACUGUUGCAAAGCAGCUAGUGGCCCUUAGGUUAAGAAUUUUAAGCAACAUUUGACUUUUAAAUGCAGAAGUUGGAUAGUUCCUUAGGGUGUACGGUAGUGAGGAUCCACUAUGUUACAUUAUUGUAAAGAACAUUUUUCUCUCCGGAGGACCUAGACCAAACCUUUUUGGCCUUCCCAGCUGGUUCUCAGUCUUGUUUACAAACUAGUCUGUUUUCUGGGGC